UCGAGGGGCAGCACGAUGUAGCAAUACAUUGGUGGCGACCGGCGCACGGGUGAGUAACGCGUAUGCAACCUACCUAUCAGAGGGGAAUAACCCGGCGAAAGUCGGACUAAUACCGCAUAAAACAGGGGUUCCACAUGGAAAUAUUUGUUAAAGAAUUAUCGCUGAUAGAUGGGCAUGCGUUCCAUUAGAUAGUUGGUGAGGUAACGGCUCACCAAGUCCACGAUGGAUAGGGGUUCUGAGAGGAAGGUCCCCCACACUGGUACUGAGACACGGACCAGACUCCUACGGGAGGCAGCAGUGAGGAAUAUUGGUCAAUGGGCGAGAGCCUGAACCAGCCAAGUCGCGUGAAGGAUGAAGGAUCUAUGGUUUGUAAACUUCUUUUAUAUGGGAAUAAAGUGAGGAACGUGUUCCUUUUUGUAUGUACCAUAUGAAUAAGCAUCGGCUAACUCCGUGCCAGCAGCCGCGGUAAUACGGAGGAUGCGAGCGUUAUCCGGAUUUAUUGGGUUUAAAGGGUGCGUAGGUGGUUAAUUAAGUCAGCGGUGAAAGUUUGUGGCUCAACCAUAAAAUUGCCGUUGAAACUGGUUGACUUGAGUAUAUUUGAGGUAGGCGGAAUGCGUGGUGUAGCGGUGAAAUGCAUAGAUAUCACGCAGAACUCCGAUUGCGAAGGCAGCUUACUAAA
Molecule: ribosomal RNA, 679 nt
Filed under: Parabacteroides goldsteinii
Lineage: Bacteria; Pseudomonadati; Bacteroidota; Bacteroidia; Bacteroidales; Tannerellaceae
Description: bacterial SSU rRNA
Rfam family: Bacterial small subunit ribosomal RNA
Source: RNAcentral